Molecule: ribosomal RNA, 867 nt
Filed under: Triticum aestivum (bread wheat)
Lineage: Eukaryota; Viridiplantae; Streptophyta; Magnoliopsida; Poales; Poaceae
Description: partial small subunit ribosomal RNA
Source: RNAcentral
UUAGAAGCACUGGCUACAGAGGAGUACCAAUGUCGUCUACAUAUUUCUCAGUCAGUAAUCUGUACAGUAUGCGGUAAUGCUAUGGAAGAUGCCCAUCAUGCUCUGAUUUGGUGCCCACAUGCUGCUGGCCUUUGGAAUGCUAUGCGGGAGGAAUGGGACAUUCCUAAAGCUGACCAACUCAAGGAUGGUGCCCCUGAUUGGUUGUUCAGGUUGCUUGAGAAAUUAUCAGAUACCCAGCGACUUAUAUGCCUCAUGAUCAUGUGGCGAGCCUGGCAUGUACGCAAUGAGGUGACCCAUCAGAAGCCGUUUAUCCCUAUUGCAAAAUCAAGGCGAUUUUUGUCCAGCUAUAUCACCUCCCUCCUGGCACUACAACAACACCCUCAUGAGGACCAGAUCAAGGGGAAAGGUGUGAUUAAGCUAGGCGGUGUCAAACAUGUCCAUCAAGAGCCUAUACCGCAUAUAGAGAAGUGGAGACCUCCGGAACCGGGUACUGCCAAGCUCAACGUUGAUGGGGUGUAUGUGGCGGAGAAUGGUUCUGCAGGCGCAGGUAUGAUCCUUCGAGACCACUCAAGGGCUGUCAUCUUUGCUGCGAUCCGUGCGCUGCCAUCCUGCACUGGAGCGCUUGAAGCCGAGCUUGCCGCAAUCCAGGAGGGAAUUCAUCUCGCUCUGAGUUGGACGGAUCUCGAUUUUGUUGUCGAGUCUGACUGCGCUGAAGCCAUCACAAUGUUAUCGUCGCCAAGAAAGGAUCGAUCACCACAUGCAUAUCGUGUGAAUGAGAUUAGAAAUCUUAUUUUUGGAGGAAGGAGGAUAGAACUUGUUAAGGUUAGGCGGGAUGUUAAUGUUGCUAGUCAUAGCCUCGCUUACAUG